Molecule: ribosomal RNA, 209 nt
Filed under: Fejervarya limnocharis (Boie's wart frog)
Lineage: Eukaryota; Metazoa; Chordata; Amphibia; Anura; Dicroglossidae
Description: partial 16S ribosomal RNA
Rfam family: Bacterial large subunit ribosomal RNA
Source: RNAcentral
CGCAUUUAUACGUCAGCCUGCCAGUGACACACUGUUGACGGCCGCGGUACUCUGACCGUGCGAAGGUAGCAUAAUCACUUGUUCUUUAAAUGGGGACUAGUAUCAACGGUGCCACGAGGGCUUCCCUGUCUCCUUUUUCCAAUCAGUGAAACUGAUCUCCCUGUGAAGAAGCAUGGAUACUAAUAUAAGACGAGAAUACCCUAUGGAGA